This 74-nucleotide transfer RNA is filed under the name Gemmatimonadota bacterium. Its description in RNAcentral is "Gemmatimonadetes bacterium tRNA-Lys". It matches the Rfam family "tRNA". From Rfam's summary of the family: Transfer RNA (tRNA) molecules are approximately 80 nucleotides in length. Their secondary structure includes four short double-helical elements and three loops (D, anti-codon, and T loops). Lineage: Bacteria; Pseudomonadati; Gemmatimonadota. The record is from RNAcentral. RNAcentral also lists the same sequence under 3 other names.
GCCCCGCUAGCUCAACUGGCUAGAGCAACUGACUCUUAAUCAGUAGGUUCGGGGUUCGAGUCCCUGGCGGGGUA